GAAGCCUGGAUGCAGCAACGCCGCGUGCGCGAAGAAGGUCUUCGGAUCNGUAAAGCGCUUUUCUGGGAGAUGAGAAAGGACAGUAUCCCAGGAAUAAGUCUCGGCUAACUACGUGCCAGCAGCCGCGGUAACACGUAGGAGGCGAGCGUUAUCCGGAUUCACUGGGCGUAAAGCGCGUGCAGGCGGUUCGGUAAGUUGGGCGUGAAAUCUCCCGGCUCAACUGGGAGAGGUCGUUCAAUACUACCGGACUUGANAGCGAUAGAGGAAAAUGGAAUUCCCGGUGUAGUGGUGAAAUGCGUAGAUAUCGGGAGGAACACCAGUGGCGAAAGCGAUUUUCUGGAUCGUUUCUGCGCUCAGACGCGAAAGCUAGGGUAGCAAACGGGAUUAGAGACCCCGGUAGUCCUAGCCGUAAACGAUGUGAACUUGGCGUCGGUGGCUUAAACUCCAUCGGUGCCGAAGCCAACGCGAUAAGUUCACCGCCUGGGGACUACGACCGCAAGGUUAAAACUCAAAGGAAUUGACGGA
Molecule: ribosomal RNA, 525 nt
Filed under: uncultured bacterium
Lineage: Bacteria
Description: bacterial SSU rRNA
Rfam family: Bacterial small subunit ribosomal RNA
Source: RNAcentral